This 253-nucleotide ribosomal RNA is filed under the name uncultured bacterium. RNAcentral describes it as "partial 16S ribosomal RNA". It matches the Rfam family "Bacterial small subunit ribosomal RNA", at positions 524 to 776 of the family's 1533-position model. The record is from RNAcentral.
UACGUAGGCAGCAAGCGUUGUUCGGAGUUACUGGGCGUAAAGAGUAUGUAGGCGGUUGGGUAAGUUUGGGGUGAAAUCUCCCGGCUUAACUGGGAGGGUGCGCUAAAGACUGCCUGGCUCGAGUGUGGGAGAGGAAAGCGGAAUUCCUGGUGUAGCGGUGAAAUGCGUAGAUAUCAGGAGGAACACCUGCGGUGUAGACGGCUUUCUGGACCAUAACUGACGCUGAGAUACGAAAGCGUGGGUAGCAAACAGG